This 423-nucleotide ribosomal RNA is filed under the name uncultured prokaryote. Its description in RNAcentral is "bacterial SSU rRNA". It matches the Rfam family "Bacterial small subunit ribosomal RNA", at positions 355 to 774 of the family's 1533-position model. The record is from RNAcentral.
UGAGGAAUAUUGGUCAAUGGGCGCAAGCCUGAACCAGCCAAGCCGCGUGAAGGAUGAAGGCUCUACGAGUCGUAAACUUCUUUUGCAGGGGAAGAAAAAGAGCUACGUGAUAGUUCUCUGACGGUACUCUGCGAAUAAGCAUCGGCUAACUCCGUGCCAGCAGCCGCGGUAAUACGGAGGAUGCAGGCGUUAUCCGGAUUUAUUAGGUUUAAAGGGUGCGUAGGCGGGCUUUUAAGUCAGUGGUGAAAACCCUCAGCUUAACUGAGGAACUGCCAUUGAUACUGAGGGUCUUGAAUGCAGUUGAGGCAGGCGGAAUGUGCAGUGUAGCGGUGAAAUGCUUAGAUAUUGCACAGAACACCGAUAGCGAAGGCAGCUUGCUAAACUGUGAUUGACGCUGAUGCACGAAAGCGUGGGGAUCAAACA